AGACACUAAGAGCCACCUGCCUUAAGAACCUGACCUCUCAUUGAGUCCUCUCUUUAUCUCGCGAGAUAACACAGUAUCCCUUGGUCCUUUUUCUCAUUGGUUUCUAGGGCAGACCAAACAACAGUACAGAAGCCGGCCAGCCAGCCAGCCAAAUCCAUGGCCCCAUGCAUGAAGACCCAGACUCAUGGCUCCUUGCAAAAGUCGAUAGUUGUAGACCCACCCAUGGCUCCCUUUUCAACAUCACCUGGCCUCUCUCCCUUUCUUCACUCCAAUGUCAGGUCUCAUCGUCUAAUCUGGGUUGCUAUAAUUUACUCAUUAGUAAUUGUUUAUUAUUUAUAGCUCGAUUAUUUUUUUUAAUUAUUAUUAACUAAUUUUAAUUUAAAAUUAAUAAAAAUAAAUAUUUUAAUUUUUGAUACAAUAAAAUUUAACAUUUAUUUUAGUAACUAUAUUAACAAUAAAUUUCUCCACUUUCUGUCUAUAUAUAUAUUUUAAAAUGUAUUUAUAGAAUUAUUCAUGAAAGAAAAUAAAUUAAAAUUUAUAUAUAAAAUCACAAAUAAUAAUACUAAUCAUUAUUUUAUUAUAAGGGUGAUACAAAAAAAGAGAGGUGGAAGUAAUUCAUUUGAAAAGAG
Molecule: long non-coding RNA, 629 nt
Filed under: Manihot esculenta (cassava)
Lineage: Eukaryota; Viridiplantae; Streptophyta; Magnoliopsida; Malpighiales; Euphorbiaceae
Description: long non-coding RNA (MESC_LNC008477)
Source: RNAcentral